Molecule: unclassified non-coding RNA, 290 nt
Filed under: Paraconiothyrium sp.
Lineage: Eukaryota; Fungi; Ascomycota; Dothideomycetes; Pleosporales; Didymosphaeriaceae
Description: partial internal transcribed spacer region
Rfam family: Eukaryotic small subunit ribosomal RNA (bases 1-46)
Source: RNAcentral
AAGUCGUAACAAGGUUUCCGUAGGUGAACCUGCGGAAGGAUCAUUAUCCAUCUCACCAGGUGUGGUUGCGGCCCCCGGGGGCGUGGGCGUCUUCUGGCGUCCUCUCUCCCGGGCGGUAGGGGUAACACCCUCACGCGCCACAUUUCUGAAUCCUUUUUUUACGAGCACCUUUCGUUCUCCUUCGGUGGGGCAACCUGCCGCUGGAACCUAUCAAACUCUUUUGCAUCUAGCAUUACCUGUUCUGAUACAAACAAUCGUUACAACUUUCAACAAUGGAUCUCUUGGCUCUG